Molecule: ribosomal RNA, 332 nt
Filed under: uncultured eukaryote
Lineage: Eukaryota
Description: partial 18S ribosomal RNA
Rfam family: Eukaryotic small subunit ribosomal RNA
Source: RNAcentral
CCCUUAGAUGUUCUGGGCCGCACGCGCGCUACACUGAUGAAUUCAACGAGCACUAACCUGUGCAGAAAUGUUCGGGUAAUCUUGUGAAAUUUCAUCGUGAUGGGGAUUGAUUAUUGCAAUUAUUAAUCAUAAACGAGGAAUGCCUAGUAAGCGUGAGUCAUCAGCUCACGUUGAUUACGUCCCUGCCCUUUGUACACACCGCCCGUCGCUACUACCGAUUGAACGGUUUAGUGAGGGCCUCGGAUUGGUCUCGGCCCGCUCUUUACCGGGCGGCGCCGUUGGUCGAGAAGACGCUCGAACUUGAUCGUUUAGAGGAAGUAAAAGUCGUAACA